This 1368-nucleotide ribosomal RNA is filed under the name Pseudarthrobacter enclensis. RNAcentral's name for it is "bacterial SSU rRNA". It matches the Rfam family "Bacterial small subunit ribosomal RNA", at positions 75 to 1453 of the family's 1533-position model. The record is from RNAcentral. Lineage: Bacteria; Bacillati; Actinomycetota; Actinomycetes; Micrococcales; Micrococcaceae.
CCCGCUUGCUGGUGGAUUAGUGGCGAACGGGUGAGUAACACGUGAGUAACCUGCCCUUGACUCUGGGAUAAGCCUGGGAAACUGGGUCUAAUACCGGAUAUGACUGACCGUCGCAUGGUGGUUGGUGGAAAGCUUUUGUGGUUUUGGAUGGACUCGCGGCCUAUCAGCUUGUUGGUGGGGUAAUGGCCUACCAAGGCGACGACGGGUAGCCGGCCUGAGAGGGUGACCGGCCACACUGGGACUGAGACACGGCCCAGACUCCUACGGGAGGCAGCAGUGGGGAAUAUUGCACAAUGGGCGCAAGCCUGAUGCAGCGACGCCGCGUGAGGGAUGACGGCCUUCGGGUUGUAAACCUCUUUCAGUAGGGAAGAAGCGUAAGUGACGGUACCUGCAGAAGAAGCGCCGGCUAACUACGUGCCAGCAGCCGCGGUAAUACGUAGGGCGCAAGCGUUAUCCGGAAUUAUUGGGCGUAAAGAGCUCGUAGGCGGUUUGUCGCGUCUGCCGUGAAAGUCCGGGGCUCAACUCCGGAUCUGCGGUGGGUACGGGCAGACUAGAGUGAUGUAGGGGAGACUGGAAUUCCUGGUGUAGCGGUGAAAUGCGCAGAUAUCAGGAGGAACACCGAUGGCGAAGGCAGGUCUCUGGGCAUUAACUGACGCUGAGGAGCGAAAGCAUGGGGAGCGAACAGGAUUAGAUACCCUGGUAGUCCAUGCCGUAAACGUUGGGCACUAGGUGUGGGGGACAUUCCACGUUUUCCGCGCCGUAGCUAACGCAUUAAGUGCCCCGCCUGGGGAGUACGGCCGCAAGGCUAAAACUCAAAGGAAUUGACGGGGGCCCGCACAAGCGGCGGAGCAUGCGGAUUAAUUCGAUGCAACGCGAAGAACCUUACCAAGGCUUGACAUGGACCAGACCGGACUGGAAACAGUUCUUCCACUUGUGGCUGGUUUACAGGUGGUGCAUGGUUGUCGUCAGCUCGUGUCGUGAGAUGUUGGGUUAAGUCCCGCAACGAGCGCAACCCUCGUUCUAUGUUGCCAGCACGUGAUGGUGGGGACUCAUAGGAGACUGCCGGGGUCAACUCGGAGGAAGGUGGGGACGACGUCAAAUCAUCAUGCCCCUUAUGUCUUGGGCUUCACGCAUGCUACAAUGGCCGGUACAAAGGGUUGCGAUACUGUGAGGUGGAGCUAAUCCCAAAAAGCCGGUCUCAGUUCGGAUUGGGGUCUGCAACUCGACCCCAUGAAGUCGGAGUCGCUAGUAAUCGCAGAUCAGCAACGCUGCGGUGAAUACGUUCCCGGGCCUUGUACACACCGCCCGUCAAGUCACGAAAGUUGGUAACACCCGAAGCCGGUGGCCUAACCCCUUGUGGGAGGGAGC